CUGGGGCAAUGGUCACAGUAGCAGGUGGGCAAAUGGUGGGCUGGGUCUGUUUGCCAUUCUCCUACUGACUGCCAGGUGCUGUAGGUGUGUCCUCAAUUUCAUCUUCCCAGAGGGGCCAGAAAUCAGAAAAGCAACCUAUUGAAGCAGAGAAUGAGGAAUUGGGAUUCUUGCACAUAUUUAUGAUUCCAUCAUGGCUUGGGUUAACUCACACAACUAGCAUGAUUCAAAUUGUUUACCAAUUAAUAUCUGUAAAUAUCUGUUCCUCACAGAAAGGUGCUGAGAUUCUAUUCACCCUUUUCUAUUGCUUUGCCAUCGUCACAAAAGAACGUCCUGAAUACCAAAUAAUCCAUGAAAUGUAUUUAAGCACAGUAUUACUGGAACAAGAUUGCUGCAUCAUUUGUGAACUUUCCCAUGGGGAAACAAAAAGGCAAAGCUGCAAUAAAUCUCCAGGUUUAAAGUCAAAAACUCCUAAGCCAAAAAGCUGUGAUCUCCAAAUGAAAACAAGAUAAAGGGUACUGCUGUUUUUAGGACUCUCAUGAAGCUCUACCAUGCUUUCUACAUUCUGCAGUCACAAAAGGACAAGAUUAUGCUCAUCCAUAAGUUGGAUAAGUUGUCUAUAAUACAGCUAUCUAUAUCACAGCGGGUUGUCUGAGGUACCAUCUAGUCAACUCUGUCAAAGAGGACAGCCACUGAAUCAGCUCAUCCCAAAGAAGGCACCUACGUCUCAUCAUACAAAUCACACCUUAACUCUCCUAAAUUCAUUGAGCCUGUCUCAUCUGACUGCAGCGAGAGCUCAGGAUGACAAGCUUGGGUCAGACGUCAUUAUUGCAGCAACCUAGAUUUCAGCAAGAUGAAUUGUAUCUGAAAUACUUGACACUGGUGAUGAUGGUAGGCUAGUUGCAAUGAGGGAGCAGAAAAUGUAUCCCUUUCCUGCAGAAGUUACAAACCUGAGCUGCCAAGGAUGGGUCCUGAAGCCAGACGAAUUCUUCUUAAUGUGUUUCACCCAAAGAUAAGGUGACAGAUUUUUCCAGCUGCAGAAACACUGCUGGGAAGGGGAAGAACUGAAGCACCAAGAAAUUUCCCAACACAUGUCCAAUUCAAGGAGUGUGGCAGGUGGCUAUUCCUGCUGGGCAGGAUCCUUCCUUUGCUUGCUGGGUGCUGAUGCUUUACACACCCCAGUCCAUCCAUACAGACAACAAAAAAAAGACAGUGGGACCAAGGUCGUGUUUGCAGUCACCACGGUUCAGUAUUCCAUGUGCCUUUCUAUCCUGCUAAAGCUAGUUAUUGGAAUGGUAGAGAAUGCUUAAUGCACUGUGGUGAAACAAGUUUCAGCAGCUGUUUCAACAUAUGCCACUUAAUGCUAUGGGAAAAGAUAUGCAAGUACUGUCUACUUUGGGAAAGCACCAAAAACAGCACAUUACGAAUAUUUCCAAUGGGGAAGGUGGUGAGGGGGAAGAAAAAGCUUAAAUUAAACGAAGUUAAUGUUUAAAAAUGAUGAAUCACUGUCUAAUUAUGAAUUUUCCUGAAAAGUUUUAUAUUGUCUGUGUUGCUUUCUGGGAAAAUCUGGCUUUUAUUUUUUAUAUAUAUAUAUUUUUAGGGGGUGGGAACAGCCAUGGAAAAGCCCCAAAUUAUCAUAAACAUGUCCUUUCACGUUGCCAUACUGUAUUAUUAAGUGAUCAUUUUGGAUAUCUGUUACAACCAUGUAUAUCCAGUGGAGCUUUUCCAAUGUUAAAGGCAUUUCAGCAGUAUAUAACUACAAUGAGCUCAGAAAGAAUCCUGUAGCCUUUGUUAUUUUCUGAAAAAUGUAAUUUCUAUUCAUUUACCUCAUUCUGAAUUUCAAUGAAGCCUCUAGUAUUAUCUCUCAAUUCCAGUUUUAAGUAUUGAUAGUAACCUGCUGUGUGACAUAUAAAAUAUCCACCCAUCCUCUAGCAUUAUAUUCAUCAGUUUCCAGUAAAUAGAAAUGAUCCUGACAUAAUCUUUGAAAGCAUGUAUUCAACAGGGCUAGAGGGCAUUUUGUGGUUAAUCUGUGUAACUGUCAUAGAUUUGGAUUCAAAUCCAGUUUAGAUCACAAAUGAAAAUAAAUUCUGCUUCAUACCCA
This 2098-nucleotide long non-coding RNA is filed under the name Anas platyrhynchos platyrhynchos (common mallard). RNAcentral describes it as "lncRNA (ENSAPLG00000028622.1)". Lineage: Eukaryota; Metazoa; Chordata; Aves; Anseriformes; Anatidae. The record is from RNAcentral.